GAUGAACGCUAGCGGCAGGCCUAAUACAUGCAAGUCGAACGAUGCUUGUUAGCAAUAACAAGUGUAGUGGCGCACGGGUGCGUAACGCGUAUGCAACCUACCUUAGACAGGGGAAUAGCCCGGGGAAACUCGGAUUAACACCGCAUAAUAUAUUUGAAUGGCAUCAUUUAGAUAUUAAAUUUACGGAGGUCAAAGAUGGGCAUGCGUCUGAUUAGCUAGNGGUGAGGUAACGGCUCACCAAGGCGACGAUCAGUAGGGGACC
RNAcentral lists this ribosomal RNA (262 nucleotides) under uncultured bacterium. RNAcentral's name for it is "partial 16S ribosomal RNA". It matches the Rfam family "Bacterial small subunit ribosomal RNA", at positions 28 to 292 of the family's 1533-position model. The record is from RNAcentral.